UAUAAUGGCUGGAAACCCUGACCUCGAUCUCAUACCACGAUAUAUAUUCAAUAUUGCCCUUCACUUAAAUAUUUGAUCACCAUGGGAUCCAUCGUUAGUAGUAAGUGGUUGGUAGCAACAACUAAUUUGAGCAUUCUGUGUUUCUUCGUCCUGCUUCUUUGCCUGCAACAACCUGUUGCGGAGGCAAGGGUUCUGAAGUUAGGAUUGCAUCCAAAUUAUGGUGUUCCAUUCCACAUUCUGCGGAGUUGUUCAGGGGCUUCUUGUGAAACCAACGGAUCCACUCCUCCACCGUCAUGUUGUAACUCGUCCUAAAUAUGCUUUCUUGGGGCCGGUUCCAACGGAUCUGCUCCGUGUGCACGCGCGCCAUAUCCCUGAAAACUAGCUAGCUAGCUAGGUAUAAUAUAUAUCAGAAUGUAGAACAAUCAUGUAUUAAUGGAAUUAGACCGGCCGAGUGUGUAUUUAUGAAAAAUAAAUAAAUGUAAUCGGAUUAUUUGUCAAAAUAAAAAAGGUGGUGAUUUUGUUUUUUCAAUAGCAUCGUGGUGUGUAUUUAUGAAAAAUAAAUGUAAUCGGAUUAUUUGUCAAAAUAAAAAGGUGAUGAUUUUAUUUUUCAAUAGCAUCGUAGUGUGUAUUUAUGAAAAAUAAAUGUAAUUGGAUUAUUUGUUAAAAUAAAAAAAUGGUGAUUUUGUUUUUUCAAUAGUGGUGUGUAUUUAUGAAAAAUAAAUGUAAUCGGAUUAUUUGUCAAAAUAAAAAGGUGGUGAUUUUAUUUUUCAAUAACAUCGUGAUGUGUAUUUAUGAAAAAUAAAUGUAAUUGGAUUUGUCAAAAUAAAAAGGUGGUGAUUUUGUAUUUCAAUAGCAUCGUGGUGUGUAUUUAUGAAAAAUAAAUGUAAUCGGAUUAUUUGUCAAAAUAAAAAAGGUGGUGAUUUUGUUUUUCAAU
This 934-nucleotide long non-coding RNA is filed under the name Zostera marina. RNAcentral describes it as "long non-coding RNA (ZMAR_LNC004351)". Lineage: Eukaryota; Viridiplantae; Streptophyta; Magnoliopsida; Alismatales; Zosteraceae. The record is from RNAcentral.